RNAcentral lists this ribosomal RNA (229 nucleotides) under uncultured bacterium. RNAcentral describes it as "partial 16S ribosomal RNA". It matches the Rfam family "Bacterial small subunit ribosomal RNA", at positions 568 to 796 of the family's 1533-position model. The record is from RNAcentral.
CGCGUAGGCGGGUUUGCAAGUCAGAGGUGAAAUCCUGCAGCUUAACUGCAGAACUGCCUUUGAUACUGCAGAUCUUGAGUUUGGAAGAGAGAGACGGAAUUCCAGGUGUAGUGGUGAAAUACGUAGAUAUCUGGAAGAACACCAGUGGCGAAGGCGGUCUCUUGGUCCAUAACUGACGCUGAGGCGCGAAAGCGUGGGGAGCAAACAGGAUUAGAUACCCUGGUAGUCC